RNAcentral lists this ribosomal RNA (492 nucleotides) under uncultured bacterium. Its description in RNAcentral is "partial 16S ribosomal RNA". It matches the Rfam family "Bacterial small subunit ribosomal RNA", at positions 29 to 507 of the family's 1533-position model. The record is from RNAcentral.
AGUGAACGCUGGCGGCAGGCCUAACACAUGCAAGUCGAACGGCAGCACAGUAAGAGCUUGCUCUUACGGGUGGCGAGUGGCGGAUGGGUGAGGAAUACAUCGGAAUCUACUUUUUCGUGGGGGAUAACGUAGGGAAACUUACGCUAAUACCGCAUACGACCUACGGGUGAAAGCAGGGGAUCUUCGUACCUUGCGCGAUUGAAUGAGCCGAUGUCGGAUUAGCUAGUUGGCGGGGUAAAGGCCCACCAAGGCGACGAUCCGUAGCUGGUCUGAGAGGAUGAUCAGCCACACUGGAACUGAGACACGGUCCAGACUCCUACGGGAGGCAGCAGUGGGGAAUAUUGGACAAUGGGCGCAAGCCUGAUCCAGCCAUACCGCGUGGGUGAAGAAGGCCUUCGGGUUGUAAAGCCCUUUUGUUGGGAAAGAAAAGCAGCAGGUUAAUACCCCGCUGUUCUGACGGUACCCAAAGAAUAAGCACCGGCUAACUUCGUG